Molecule: unclassified non-coding RNA, 549 nt
Filed under: Hevea brasiliensis (rubber tree)
Lineage: Eukaryota; Viridiplantae; Streptophyta; Magnoliopsida; Malpighiales; Euphorbiaceae
Source: RNAcentral
GGCCAACAAGCGAUUACAGGAACAUUGUGUGUCAACAGCUUUAGUAAAUAGAGUCAGCUACUCCGUUAAUUGUGAUUAUUAAUCUGAAUUUCAUACCAAGCUUGUUAGCAUGCGACUCUUUAUUUUCAAUUACUUCAGAAAGUUGAGCUUGAGAUUUUCAUUGGCGUGGUCUGACAGACAUCAAUUCUCUUUUUUAAUUGGAUUCUUUAGUUCUCCCUAAAUCAAUUUAAUGGUCAUUAUGUAAAUUUCUUCAAAUUUUGACUAAAAGGCAAUUUUUUGCAUAACAAAUUUGUAUUGGUGAUCAUAUCAAUACUUAGAUGUAAUGCAUCAUCGGAAAAGAAUGGUCCUCUUUCCAUACCACCCUGCCCCUUCCCUCCUGUCUGUUACCACAACUAUAUUUCCUUCUCCGGUUUGGGAAUGGAGCUUCUCUGCACUAAGCUGACAGAGUGCAACAUCAAUAUGUCUGGCUUGCAUUUUUUAACUACAACACCUUAACAUGCUAUGCUGAAUAAUGAAUUGGUUAUAGUCCAUUAUGCUACAACACCUUAG